RNAcentral lists this non-coding RNA (31 nucleotides) under Rattus norvegicus (Norway rat). Lineage: Eukaryota; Metazoa; Chordata; Mammalia; Rodentia; Muridae. The record is from RNAcentral.
UUACCGACUGCUUGGCUAGUCCCAGUAAGGU